ACUGCUCAGUAACACGUGGACAAUCUGCCCUGAAGUGGAGAAUAAUCCCGGGAAACUGGGGGUAAUACUCCAUAGUUCGUUAUUACUGGAAUGUUUUUCGAACGAAAGAUCCGUCGCUUCAGGAUGAGUCUGCGGCCGAUUAGGUAGUUGUUGGGGUAAUUGCCCAACAAGCCUGUAAUCGGUACGGGUUGUGGGAGCAAGAGCCCGGAGAUGGAUUCUGAGACACGAAUCCAGGCCCUACGGGGCGCAGCAGGCGCGAAAACUUUACCAUGCGGGCAACCGUGAUAAGGAAACCCCGAGUGCCAGCACAGGCUGGCUGUCCGCCAGUUUAAACAACUGGCGAAGAAAGGGCCGGGCAAGACCGGUGCCAGCCGCCGCGGUAAUACCGGCGGCUCGAGUGGUGGCCGCUAUUACUGGGCUUAAAGGGUCCGUAGCUUGAUAAUAGGGUCCCUUGAGAAAUCCGCCGGCUUAACUGGCGGGCGUUCAGGGGAAACUUGUUUUCUAGGGACCGGGAGAGGUGAGGGGUACUGCCGGGGUAGGAGUGAAAUCCUGUAAUCCCGGUGGGACCACCUAUGGCGAAGGCAUCUCACCAGAACGGGUCCGACAGUGAGGGACGAAAGCUGGGGGAGCAAACCGGAUUAGAUACCCUGGUAGUCCCAGCUGUAAACUAUGUGCGUUAGGUGUGUCAGUGACCACGUGUCACUGAGGUGCCGAAGGGAAACCGUGAAACGCACCGCCUGGGGAGUACGGUCGCAAGGCUGAAACUUAAAGGAAUUGGCGGGGGAGCAC
This 789-nucleotide ribosomal RNA is filed under the name uncultured archaeon. Its description in RNAcentral is "bacterial SSU rRNA". It matches the Rfam family "Archaeal small subunit ribosomal RNA", at positions 85 to 879 of the family's 1478-position model. The record is from RNAcentral.